GUAAGGAAUAUUGGUCAAUGGACGAAAGUCUGAACCAGCCAUGCCGCGUGAAGGAUGAAGGCCCUCUGGGUUGUAAACUUCUUUUAUCUGGGACGAAAAAAGGGUAUUCUUACUCACUUGACGGUACCAGAGGAAUAAGCACCGGCUAACUCCGUGCCAGCAGCCGCGGUAAUACGGAGGGUGCAAGCGUUAUCCGGAUUCACUGGGUUUAAAGGGUGCGUAGGUGGGUAUUUAAGUCAGUGGUGAAAUCUCCGAGCUUAACUCGGAAACUGCCAUUGAUACUAUUUACCUUGAAUGCCCUGGAGGUAAGCGGAAUAUGUCAUGUAGCGGUGAAAUGCUUAGAUAUGACAUAGAACACCAAUUGCGAAGGCAGCUUACUACGGGGUGAUUGACACUGAGGCACGAAAGCGUGGGGAGCAAACAGGAUUAGAAACCCGAGUAGUCC
RNAcentral lists this ribosomal RNA (445 nucleotides) under uncultured bacterium. RNAcentral's name for it is "partial 16S ribosomal RNA". It matches the Rfam family "Bacterial small subunit ribosomal RNA", at positions 354 to 796 of the family's 1533-position model. The record is from RNAcentral.